GCGGAAGUGGUGGAAUUGGUAGACGCGCUAGAUUCAGGGUCUAGUGAACGCAAGUUCGUGGGGGUUCAAAUCCCCCCUUCCGCA
This 84-nucleotide transfer RNA is filed under the name Chitinivibrionales bacterium. Its description in RNAcentral is "tRNA-Leu". It matches the Rfam family "tRNA". Rfam says of the family: Transfer RNA (tRNA) molecules are approximately 80 nucleotides in length. Their secondary structure includes four short double-helical elements and three loops (D, anti-codon, and T loops). Lineage: Bacteria; Pseudomonadati; Fibrobacterota; Chitinivibrionia; Chitinivibrionales. The record is from RNAcentral.